Molecule: ribosomal RNA, 505 nt
Filed under: uncultured bacterium
Lineage: Bacteria
Description: partial 16S ribosomal RNA
Rfam family: Bacterial small subunit ribosomal RNA
Source: RNAcentral
GACGAACGCUGGCGGCGUGCCUAAUACAUGCAAGUAGAACGCACAGUUUAUACCGUAGCUUGCUACACCAUAGACUGUGAGUUGCGAACGGGUGAGUAACGCGUAGGUAACCUGCCUGGUAGCGGGGGAUAACUAUUGGAAACGAUAGCUAAUACCGCAUAAUAUUAAUUAUUGCAUGAUAAUUAAUUGAAAGGUGCAAUUGCACCACUACCAGAUGGACCUGCGUUGUAUUAGCUAGUAGGUGAGGUAACGGCUCACCUAGGCGACGAUACAUAGCCGACCUGAGAGGGUGAUCGGCCACACUGGGACUGAGACACGGCCCAGACUCCUACGGGAGGCAGCAGUAGGGAAUCUUCGGCAAGGGACGAAAGUCUGACCGAGCAACGCCGCGUGAGUGAAGAAGGUUUUCGGAUCGUAAAGCUCUGUUGUAAGAGAAGAACGGGUGUGAGAGUGGAAAGUUCACACUGUGACGGUAGCUGACCAGAAAGGGACGGCUAACUACGUG